UAAUACGGAGGAGGCAAGCGUUAUCCGGAAUUAUUGGGCGUAAAGCGUCCGUAGGUGGCUCUUCAAGUCUGCUGUCAAAGAGUGGGGCUUAACCCUGCAAAGGCAGUGGAAACUGAAAGGCUAGAGAUCCGUAGGGGUAGAGGGAAUUCCCGGUGUAGCGGUGAAAUGCGUAGAGAUCGGGAAGAACAUCGGUGGCGAAAGCGCUCUACUGGACGGUAUCUGACACUGAGGGACGAAAGCUAGGGGAGCGAAUGGGAUUAGAUACCCCAGUAGUCCUAGCCGUAAACGAUGGAUACUAGGCGUGGCUUGUAUCGACCCGAGCCGUGCCGGAGCUAACGCGUUAAGUAUCCCGCCUGGGGAGUACGCACGCAAGUGUG
Molecule: ribosomal RNA, 377 nt
Filed under: uncultured bacterium
Lineage: Bacteria
Description: bacterial SSU rRNA
Rfam family: Bacterial small subunit ribosomal RNA
Source: RNAcentral